This 254-nucleotide ribosomal RNA is filed under the name uncultured bacterium. RNAcentral's name for it is "partial 16S ribosomal RNA". It matches the Rfam family "Bacterial small subunit ribosomal RNA", at positions 524 to 776 of the family's 1533-position model. The record is from RNAcentral.
UACAGAGGGGGGCAAGCGUUGUUCGGAAUUACUGGGCGUAAAGGGCGCGUAGGCGGCCUGUUAAGUCGGACGUGAAAUCCCUCGGCUUAACCGGGGAACUGCGUCUGAUACUGGAUGGCUUGGAUUCGGGAGAGGAAUGCGGAAUUCCAGGUGUAGCGGUGAAAUGCGUAGAUAUCUGGAGGAACACCGGUGGCGAAGGCGGCAUUCUGGACCGACAUUGACGCUGAGGAGCGAAAGCCAGGGGAGCAAACGGG